ACAUUUUUACAUGGUUCUGGUGCUCUGCCUGCAGGUCAAGAAGGAGCCAGUAUCUCCAGGAGGAGUGAGAGAGUGCUCUGCCAGUGUGAAGUGUGAAUCCUUGAGAGGCUGUGGCAAGGGUCCAUGCCUGAAUGUGUAGAACAAGAACAGCUGGAGGCUGUGGCUUUCUCCAGGAAGAGGUUUCUAAAUCUGCCUCUUAGAAGAUAUCAGAAAGUUAAAGUUUCUCUUGCUGCCGCCGUGUAAGAAGGACCUUUUGCCUCCCACCAUGAUUCUAAGUCCUCCCCAGCCACGUGGAACUGCUUUCAUUUGGUCUCUUUUCGAAUCAGAAGACCCAGAAAACUUGGAUCCACUUCUGGCUCUCAUCCCUCUGGGCAGUGUGAUUUGGAUUGAGCAGAUGCUCCGGCUGCCACUCCAUCAUAUAUUGGAAACAGCAUUACUUUAUAGUAAAUCAUGACCACGGUGUAUGGCAAUGAAGUUGCAUCUGAAGCAGCCGGCACCCUAUGUGCUAGCUGGCUUUUAGACCAGGAGACUGUGAAUCUGUGGUCAGGAUCUCUUUAGGGCUGCUAAAUAUAUACUACCCACUAUCACUCGCUGGAGCUGCAGACCCUAGUUUUAGAGUUUCACUUCUUAAAGACCUUCAUCCUUAUUAAAAUGGUAAUAUCCUUACUGUCA
Molecule: long non-coding RNA, 672 nt
Filed under: Homo sapiens (human)
Lineage: Eukaryota; Metazoa; Chordata; Mammalia; Primates; Hominidae
Description: HSALNT0368985
Source: RNAcentral